This 554-nucleotide ribosomal RNA is filed under the name Aspergillus sp. CeR1. Its description in RNAcentral is "eukaryotic LSU rRNA". The stretch from base 211 to 364 matches the Rfam family "5.8S ribosomal RNA". The record is from RNAcentral. Lineage: Eukaryota; Fungi; Ascomycota; Eurotiomycetes; Eurotiales; Aspergillaceae.
CGUAGGUGAACCUGCGGAAGGAUCAUUACCGAGUGUAGGGUUCCUAGCGAGCCCAACCUCCCACCCGUGUUUACUGUACCUUAGUUGCUUCGGCGGGCCCGCCAUUCAUGGCCGCCGGGGGCUCUCAGCCCCGGGCCCGCGCCCGCCGGAGACACCACGAACUCUGUCUGAUCUAGUGAAGUCUGAGUUGAUUGUAUCGCAAUCAGUUAAAACUUUCAACAAUGGAUCUCUUGGUUCCGGCAUCGAUGAAGAACGCAGCGAAAUGCGAUAACUAGUGUGAAUUGCAGAAUUCCGUGAAUCAUCGAGUCUUUGAACGCACAUUGCGCCCCCUGGUAUUCCGGGGGGCAUGCCUGUCCGAGCGUCAUUGCUGCCCAUCAAGCACGGCUUGUGUGUUGGGUCGUCGUCCCCUCUCCGGGGGGGACGGGCCCCAAAGGCAGCGGCGGCACCGCGUCCGAUCCUCGAGCGUAUGGGGCUUUGUCACCCGCUCUGUAGGCCCGGCCGGCGCUUGCCGAACGCAAAUCAAUCUUUUUCCAGGUGACCUCGGAUCAGGUAGU